GGACCAUCCAGAGCGGCUGAGAGACUUGGCUCGACGACGCCGCAGCAACCACCAGCUCCCGGGCUGACAGGUGCUUCCGCCAAGCCGAUGGACC
Molecule: non-coding RNA, 94 nt
Filed under: Kineococcus radiotolerans
Lineage: Bacteria; Bacillati; Actinomycetota; Actinomycetes; Kineosporiales; Kineosporiaceae
Also listed under: 1 other name
Description: SAM-I sequence
Rfam family: SAM riboswitch aptamer (S box leader)
About the family: The SAM riboswitch is found upstream of a number of genes which code for proteins involved in methionine or cysteine biosynthesis in Gram-positive bacteria. The SAM riboswitch acts at the level of transcription termination control.
Source: RNAcentral